UACGGAGGAUCCGAGCGUUAUCCGGAUUUAUUGGGUUUAAAGGGUGCGUAGGCGGCCCGGUAAGUCAGUGGUGAAAGCCUCCAGCUCAACUGGAGAACUGCCAUUGAUACUGCCGGGCUUGAGUACAGACGAGGUUGGCGGAAUUGAUUGUGUAGCGGUGAAAUGCAUAGAUACAAUCAAGAACUCCGAUUGCGUAGGCAGCUAACUAGGCUGUAACUGACGCUGAGGCACGAAAGCGUGGGGAGCGAACAGG
This 253-nucleotide ribosomal RNA is filed under the name uncultured bacterium. RNAcentral describes it as "partial 16S ribosomal RNA". It matches the Rfam family "Bacterial small subunit ribosomal RNA", at positions 524 to 776 of the family's 1533-position model. The record is from RNAcentral.